GGGGAGCGGAUGUGCGCGGAGAUGGCCAUGAAGGAAACUAAGGUGGCAUUGCUUGAAAGACACUUGCACCUCAACAUCCACAGGCACAUGCCCUGCGAAGUAUACCGCCUAAGGUGUCCAUCCUGCAAUGCCCUUUCAGGCACAAACACAACACAUCCAUCAUUCUCCCGCUUCUAAUCUCACGCCGUACACUGCCUCAUCACUGCAUUCAGUGCCACCUGCUGAAUUACCAGCACCGGAGCCCAUCGCAUCGAGGAGCACCGGGGAGGUCUCACAUCCAAGCACUAACCCCGUCUAGCUUGGGGGAACUGACAAGAUCACAGCAGACGGUAAUAAAUAAAGUUUCAGACAGCACCAUAUGCAGCCACGAGCUGCAUUAUGUUACUACGGGAGCUCUGAGGUACUGAACUAGUCAAAGCUCCGCUGCUGGUGCAGGAGUCAAGAUGCAAGAUAUGCAAAAUGCAGGAUGCAGGUGAAGCAGCCAUUCUGAUCUGCACGUUUGGGCUUGCCCAUUUUUUCUGUUUUUUUUUGUCAUUCCUGUGAGGCAACUAAGCUAUAACUAUAAUAUUUCAUUUUACUUGAUAUCAGUAAUUGAA
Dromaius novaehollandiae (emu) is the source of this 596-nucleotide long non-coding RNA. RefSeq lists it as uncharacterized. The transcript is spliced from 3 exons. The record is from RefSeq and is a predicted model, not a curated record. Lineage: Eukaryota; Metazoa; Chordata; Aves; Casuariiformes; Dromaiidae.